AAAGUGGCAGAAUGAGGGAAUAUUGAAGAGGACUAGAGAACAGCAAAGACAUGAACCAUUACCCCAAAAUGAGAAAGGAGGACGGAGAAAAAUACCAUUACAAAUAAAAAAUAGAUUGUGUGGCAUAUUCUU
Molecule: non-coding RNA, 132 nt
Organism: Ailuropoda melanoleuca (giant panda)
Lineage: Eukaryota; Metazoa; Chordata; Mammalia; Carnivora; Ursidae
Source: Rfam